RNAcentral lists this small nuclear RNA (147 nucleotides) under Chinchilla lanigera (long-tailed chinchilla). RNAcentral's name for it is "U4 spliceosomal RNA (ENSCLAG00000020493.1)". It matches the Rfam family "U4 spliceosomal RNA". Rfam says of the family: U4 small nuclear RNA (U4 snRNA) is a component of the major U2-dependent spliceosome. The structure of U4 snRNA from yeast and human has been reported. Lineage: Eukaryota; Metazoa; Chordata; Mammalia; Rodentia; Chinchillidae. The record is from Rfam by way of RNAcentral.
AGUUUUGCACAGUGGCAACAUCAUAGCCAAUGAAGUUUAUCCGAGGUGUGAUUACUUCUAAUUGAAAAGUAAUCAACACCUUUAAUCUCUUGGACAAUAAAUACAAGGGUGUUAAAAUAGUUAAGUUUGGGCUGGGGAUUUAGCUCA